UCCGGUUUGUCACCGGCAGUCUCGCCAGAGUGCCCAACUAAAUGCUGGCAACUGACAACAAGGGUUGCGCUCGUUACGGGACUUAACCCAACAUCUCACGACACGAGCUGACGACAACCAUGCACCACCUGUCAUUCUGUCCCGAAGGGAACACUCUAUCUCUAGAGCUGUCAGAAGAUGUCAAGAGCUGGUAAGGUUCUUCGCGUUGCUUCGAAUUAAACCACAUGCUCCACCGCUUGUGCGGGUCCCCGUCAAUUCCUUUGAGUUUAAGCCUUGCGGCCGUACUCCCCAGGCGGAGUGCUUAAUGCGUUAACGCCGGCACCGAGGGGUGGAAGCCCCCCAACACCUAGCACUCAUCGUUUACGGCAUGGACUAC
RNAcentral lists this unclassified non-coding RNA (376 nucleotides) under uncultured Carnobacteriaceae bacterium. RNAcentral's name for it is "contains 16S-23S intergenic spacer region". Lineage: Bacteria; Bacillati; Bacillota; Bacilli; Lactobacillales; Carnobacteriaceae. The record is from RNAcentral.